GGCUCAGGAUGAACGCUAGCGGCAGGCUUAACACAUGCAAGUCGAGGGGCAUCGGGAGUAGCAAUACUUGCCGGCGACCGGCGCAAGGGUGCGUAACGCGUGAGCAACAUGCCCGUAUCAGGGGGAUAAUCCAUGGAAACGUGGUCUAAUACCCCAUAGUAAUUAUGUAAGGCAUCUUAUAUAAUUUAAAGCUUUGGUGGAUACGGAUUGGCUCGCGUGACAUUAGCUAGAUGGUAAGGUAACGGCUUACCAUGGCUACGAUGUCUAGGGGUUCUGAGAGGAAGGUCCCCCACACUGGAACUGAGACACGGUCCAGACUCCUACGGGAGGCGGCAGUGAGGAAUAUUGGACAAUGGAUGGAAAUCUGAUCCAGCCAUGCCGCGUGCAGGAAAGACGGCCCUAUGGGUUGUAAACUGCUUUUGUAUGGGAGCAAUAAGGGCUACGCGUAGUCCGAUGAGAGUACCAUACGAAUAAGCACCGGCUAACUCCGUGCCAGCCGCAGC
Molecule: ribosomal RNA, 503 nt
Filed under: uncultured bacterium
Lineage: Bacteria
Description: bacterial SSU rRNA
Rfam family: Bacterial small subunit ribosomal RNA
Source: RNAcentral